This 253-nucleotide ribosomal RNA is filed under the name uncultured bacterium. RNAcentral describes it as "partial 16S ribosomal RNA". It matches the Rfam family "Bacterial small subunit ribosomal RNA", at positions 524 to 776 of the family's 1533-position model. The record is from RNAcentral.
UACGUAGGGUGCGAGCGUUACUCGGAAUUACUGGGCGUAAAGCGCGCGCAGGCGGCGCGUUAAGUCAGGUGUGAAAGCCCCGAGCUUAACUUGGGAAUUGCGCUUGUGACUGGCGAGCUGGAGUGUGGCAGAGGGAGGUGGAAUUCCACGUGUAGCAGUGAAAUGCGUAGAGAUGUGGAGGAACACCGAUGGCGAAGGCAGCCUCCUGGGCCAGCACUGACGCUCAGGCGCGAAAGCGUGGGGAGCAAACAGG